RNAcentral lists this ribosomal RNA (253 nucleotides) under uncultured bacterium. RNAcentral's name for it is "partial 16S ribosomal RNA". It matches the Rfam family "Bacterial small subunit ribosomal RNA", at positions 524 to 776 of the family's 1533-position model. The record is from RNAcentral.
UACGUAGGGGGCAAGCGUUGUCCGGAUUUAUUGGGCGUAAAGCGCGUGUAGGCGGCCACACAGGUCCGCUGUGAAAACUCGAGGCUCAACCUCGAGCUGUCGGUGGAAACCGUGUGGCUAGAGUCCGGAAGAGGAGACUGGAAUUCCCGGUGUAGCGGUGGAAUGCGCAGAUAUCGGGAGGAACACCUAUGGCGAAGGCAGCUCGCUGGGACGGUACUGACGCUGAGACGCGAAAGCGUGGGGAGCAAACAGG